Molecule: ribosomal RNA, 253 nt
Filed under: uncultured bacterium
Lineage: Bacteria
Description: partial 16S ribosomal RNA
Rfam family: Bacterial small subunit ribosomal RNA
Source: RNAcentral
UACGUAGGGCGCAAGCUUUGUCCGGAAUUAUUGGGCGUAAGGAGCUCGUAGGCGGCCUGUCGCGUCUGCUGUGAAAUCCCGGGGCUUAACCCCGGGCGUGCAGUGGAUACGGGCUGGCUGGAGGCAGGCAGGGGAGAACGGAAUUCCCGGUGUAGCGGUGAAAUGCGCAGAUAUCGGGAGGAACACCGGUGGCGAAGGCGGUUCUCUGGGCCUGUACUGACGCUGAGGAGCGAAAGCGUGGGGAGCGAACAGG